CCGUGCAGCCGGGGCGUUAGCGGUGUCCUGUACCUACAAUCCGCUCUAGUAGGGGUGAUGUUCGACUGAGGGUUUUCGCUUGUAUAGCUGCCCUUUAUAAGUGGCGUUGAAGUUUGGGUCUUACGCAAUGGGAAUCUAUGAACCGUGUCAGGUUGGGAACAAAGCAGCACUAAGUAGAACCUCUCAUGUGCCGUAAGGGUGCCUGGCGGAGUUAACUGUAAAGGUAACGUAUGUGGGUUCGAUUCGAGGAAGAAUGCACGG
This 261-nucleotide signal recognition particle RNA is filed under the name Lachnospiraceae bacterium. RNAcentral describes it as "signal recognition particle sRNA large type". It matches the Rfam family "Bacterial large signal recognition particle RNA". Rfam says of the family: The signal recognition particle (SRP) is a universally conserved ribonucleoprotein involved in the co-translational targeting of proteins to membranes. Archaeal SRP consists of a 7S RNA and homologues of the eukaryotic SRP19 and SRP54 proteins. The record is from RNAcentral. Lineage: Bacteria; Bacillati; Bacillota; Clostridia; Lachnospirales; Lachnospiraceae.